This 2224-nucleotide long non-coding RNA is filed under the name Oreochromis niloticus (Nile tilapia). Its description in RNAcentral is "lncRNA (ENSONIG00000039261.1)". The record is from RNAcentral. Lineage: Eukaryota; Metazoa; Chordata; Actinopteri; Cichliformes; Cichlidae.
GAGGCCUGCCCAUUUUCCUCAAGAGAAGAUGCAACAGAGGUUUUCCUGAAGUGCUUAGACACUGACAUUUUGGAACCAGUGUUGAACGGUGCAUCAGUUGCCAUCCUCACCAUCCUACAAGAUGACGAUGCUGAUACGUCUGUGCGAGAACAUGCAGUUGUGUUGGAAGGGGACAUCGUGCUACAUAACAUUCCAGAUCUCUCUACUGCCCUGGCACACCUCUUUGGCCUUCUGUAUGCCCUCAACAUUGAUUAUCCAAAGCAGAUGAGUUUUACCUUUGAAGCAAUUCAGGCCAUCUUAUUUUGGCCUGGUCGGACAAUAUGAAGGUGAAGUGGAUAAAUCAUUAUUCGAAAUGUAAAUUUUAGUCAGAUGAAUCUGUAUUGUUGAGAAUAUAUGGUGAAAAUUUGUCUUGUAGUAUUUUAAAAGAUUUGUUAUAGUGUUAGUUUCCUCUUCAUUGAUGGUAACAUUUCUAAGAACUUUUAACUUCCAUAGUUCAUCAUAGUAAGCCUGUGUAAAAUGUCAAUGUCUGGGUGCAUAGGCAAUCGUUUGUAGCACUACCCUAUUUAAUGUGCAAUAGUUAUGUUCAGCUUUUACAAGACGGUCAGGGUGUGUGUGCAUGAAUUAUUAAGUUGCUGGACACUUUUCUUUUUUGGUUCUGGACUCUAGAAUUUUAACGUCUCUGCUGGGGUGCUCAAAGCACCCAAAAGAAACUGGCAACACGUUUUUGUUUGUUUAUUUCUUUUCUUUCUUUCUUUUUGUUUUUUUUAACAGAAAUUCACCCUACUACCCAUGACAUUCUGAAAUGUACUGAAAAGACUGUUGAACAAAAUAAAUAAGCUUUUAGAUAACAUUGAAUUGUGCUUUGUUUUAUUCUAUAUCUAUUUAUUAAGUGUUUUUUCAAGUAUAAUAACAACAUACAUUUUCCUUUGUUUAUAUAGGUAAAUUUUCAACUCACUGGAGUAAGAAUUGUAUGAUUACUCAACAAGAAUAUCUGUGUUUGGUGAAGGCAGAAAUACAUGGCAUUGAAACCAGAAUUUCUUCGUUAGACUUCCAGGAUUAUCCUAAUUAGGUGAACAAGGAGAUCCAAGUUGGCAGAACUUGUAAAUCUUAGUUGAGUCAACAGCAGUUGGCAAAAGUUGAGAAAACUCAAAAAUCUCUUGCAUCAUGUUGCCUUGAAAUUUUACGUUUUCUCAACAUUUUCUUUUUUACAGUGUGGACAUGAACAAACAGCUUACGACAGCAGCUAUCAGCCACUUAUAGUGCAGUCAUGUUAAAACAUGUAACACAGGGUCGCCAGUUUAGCUCAGCGAGACGAGCAGGCGACCACAUUAAUAUUAUUAAUUAUUAAUACGUUAUUAAUAAAUAUUAGCAAGUUCAGUCAGUUCAGGAAGCAGGCAUACAGAAGGCCAGAUAGUGGGCGAACGUCUGAGCAGACACAAAAGUAUAAGACAAUGUCAAUAAAAAGAUUCAGGAAUAAUCCCGUUCCAUAUACGUUACCUUGGUUAUAUUGUAGCUCACAGUACAUUAUUGAAUUUUCAAGUGUUCCCUUACAGUUUGUAAAUAAAGUAUUGUUAUCACGUUUCUCAGUUGUCUCAGUCAGCAUUUGAAUCCGUUUUCCUUUUUCUGCCUUUUGGCCGUGACAAAAACAAAUUUCUGCUUGUUUGCUGAGCCAGAAAUUAAUAACAAGUUGCACUCCCAAUCAAAAGUUUAAGACCACUUGAAAAAUUGAAAAAAAUCAUAUUUUGCAUGGUUGGAUCUUAACAAUGUUGCAAGUAGAGCUUCAACAUGCAACUGGAAGAAAUGGGAGUGAGAGAAAACAUUGUUUUGAGCAUGCAAUUUAUUGAAAACAGCGCCUAACCUGAGACAGGCUGUUUUAAAGCCAAGGUUAUUGAAUAUAGUUUUCACUCACGCUGUCUUACCUCAGUAUUUUUUGUGACUUCUUUUACAGAGACUGUCUCUCUGGCUGAUCAGUUCAAAGACAACUUGGUCCCAGAUAAAGGCUCAAAAUAUUGAGAUCAACCUGAGCGAGGUGAGCUCAAACACAACAAGUAGCAUGACAAAAUGCACAGAUUAGGAAUCAGAUGAUUACUCAGUUUUGUUUGCAUGUUUACACAUUCUCCAUCCUACGUUUUCCUAUGAAUAUAUCAUAAAGAAAGCAGCGUUAAAAACAACUGAGUAUCAAAGAUCUCGUAGUCAAGUACACUCAGGGUGUGGCUGUUCAACA